This 21-nucleotide non-coding RNA is filed under the name Mus musculus (house mouse). The record is from RNAcentral. Lineage: Eukaryota; Metazoa; Chordata; Mammalia; Rodentia; Muridae. RNAcentral also lists the same sequence under 1 other name.
CAUCUUACCGGACAGUGCUGG